AGGCUCCCGAGGUCCGGUCCUGGCCACGUGGCCCCGACCCGCCCUCCUCGAGCAACAGAAACUGGACUGGAUUGGGGGUGCCCUGUCUCAGUGGACACGGGACACCACGGUUUCCGGUGCUACA
Phyllostomus discolor (pale spear-nosed bat) is the source of this 124-nucleotide non-coding RNA. RefSeq annotates it as small Cajal body-specific RNA 23. The transcript has a single exon. The record is from RefSeq and is a predicted model, not a curated record. Lineage: Eukaryota; Metazoa; Chordata; Mammalia; Chiroptera; Phyllostomidae.